AAUGUACAAGAAAUGGCGCAUUAUUCUAGUCAAUAUAGUAUUAUGAAGACGAGGGUAAAAUAUCGUUAAAAGGCAUAUCUAUGAAACGUUUGGUGCUUGCUUCUUACGCCCAGUAAGGGGUGGGUGCUGAAUUUGAAGAGUUUAUGGACGAUCGUAACGGCAUACGGCAACCGUUCCAUUUAUUCGUGGAGACCUAAGCUUGUGAGCAAUUACGACUUAGGCGUGAACCUAUCUUGUGGCUAAAGCUAUGGAUAGAGUAGCCUGGCUUGAGUGAUAUUGGGGAAUAGAGACAGCUUGUUACAAGGUGUACAUCUUAGAAAUAAGCAUCGCUACUUGAAACUAAUAUUGCAAAAAAGCAUAAGUAAUAUUUCUGUUGUCGAGGAAAACUCCUAGGGUGUAAAUUGAUAUAGGAUUGCAGUGUGUUCUAAGUGGUUAUCAAGUAAUAGAAUAGGUGACUAUCUGUUUAAUUUCUUAAAAGGGAACUGCUUAAUUGGUAACGAUUAAGUGAGAUUAAGGGAAAUCCAACUUGACCUUAAGACGCAAAGUUUACUAUAUUAGUUGCCAUUUCCUAUUUUAU
Molecule: small RNA, 577 nt
Filed under: bovine gut metagenome
Source: RNAcentral